UACGAAGGGGACUAGCGUUGUUCGGAAUCACUGGGCGUAAAGCGCACGUAGGCGGAUGUGUCAGUCAGGGGUGAAAUCCCGGGGCUCAACCUCGGAACUGCCUUUGAUACAGCACGUCUCGAGUCCGGAAGAGGUGGGUGGAAUUCCUAGUGUAGAGGUGAAAUUCGUAGAUAUUAGGAAGAACACCGGUGGCGAAGGCGGCCCACUGGUCCGGUACUGACGCUGAGGUGCGAAAGCGUGGGGAGCAAACAGGAUUAGAACCUACCG
Molecule: ribosomal RNA, 267 nt
Filed under: uncultured bacterium
Lineage: Bacteria
Description: partial 16S ribosomal RNA
Rfam family: Bacterial small subunit ribosomal RNA
Source: RNAcentral